UUCACAACAGUUUAACAAAACUCUUUAAUAAAAUUCAUAAAAAUGCAUCUUAGAGAACAGUUCCGAUUGCUUGCCUUUUCCACUCCCCACAAAAUACAAAAUUAUCAGCACCCACACACAUAUACACUCAAACUACAUACAAAGGGCACGCUAUCAACAUUAGACAAUUAAACUACAGAGAAACCAACAGUUCUCACAGUUGAUUGCAGUCAUCAUUUGCUUCCAAAAUUAUGUGAGUACAGCAAUUUCAAUGAAAAGUCUCAAGGGCCUUGCCUCCCUUUUCCCAUCAGAGUGGUGUUUUCUUCCUGCUUUCUGAGAAAAUGCACAAUCUCUAAUAUUCUCAGUUUUCUUUUUUGGUUUUCCAAGACAGAGUUUCUGUGUAGCCCUGGCUGUCCUGGAAUUCACUUACUAUACCAGGCUGACCUUGAACUCAGAGAGAUCUGAGACUGUCUCUGCCUCCCGAGUGCCGGGAUUAAAGGCGUGCACCAACACACCCAGCAUAGUCUCAGUUUUCUAUUUGUACUUAAGAUUGGGCAACUCAGGUCCAAAUCAGCCGGUCUUUUCUAUAACUACCAUCAAAAGCAGGCACUAGAGGGGUGUAUUUCCUGGGCUUCAGGAACACAUACAUGGACAGGAUUCCAGCUAGGAAACAUUGGCUGAGACAACCCUAAUUCUUCCAGAAAUUUUGUGGGACGAGGUCUAGCCUCCUUGUACCCUCACCAUCAGUGUGCCAACUGGCCAGGUUCACGGACAUGUGGCCACCCACAUGACUCAUGACAGUGGUCAGGUUCACUGGCAUGCUUGCUGUCCCCAAGCUUGGCUUCUCUCCUCUAUCUUUGGUGGUGGCACUCCAGUCUCUCUCAGAAAAAACCAUUUUUUACUGCUGGUUUGAAAGAAACGCAAGAAACCACGGUGUCCGAAAACCUCGCUGCAGGUCCCGGUCACAGCAUUGGAUAGAGAACCAAAGCAACAUAUCUCACUAUGGCAUCUGCCUAAGAAUCAGGUGUGCACCUUAGAAUCUUCGCAGCUUGCAUAGUGGUCCCAUUAUUUUUUUGUUCUGCCCCAAACACACAGCUGAAUAAGUAAAGACACUCUGGAGGUGGGGAGAGAACACAGGAAAGGUGUUUGAAACAUACACUAUCCAGCUCAGUUGCACCCACACCAAGAAACCUGUCUCUUACCAUAAAAGGGCCCAGGCACUACUGUGUCACAGAAUAGCACCUGGGCCAGGCAACAGAAUUCAGGAACUUAGUGGCUAUUAGAAUACAGAACAUAAACAUGGUAAUUGAGUGAAAGUAUACAAUGUAAAAAAAUUAGUGAGGGGUGAAGGGCUUGGGGGCUGUGUGUCCGGAGCAGAACAUAGCUC
This 1366-nucleotide long non-coding RNA is filed under the name Rattus norvegicus (Norway rat). Its description in RNAcentral is "long non-coding RNA NONRATT014652". Lineage: Eukaryota; Metazoa; Chordata; Mammalia; Rodentia; Muridae. The record is from RNAcentral.